This 460-nucleotide ribosomal RNA is filed under the name uncultured bacterium. Its description in RNAcentral is "partial 16S ribosomal RNA". It matches the Rfam family "Bacterial small subunit ribosomal RNA", at positions 338 to 795 of the family's 1533-position model. The record is from RNAcentral.
CCUACGGGAGACAGCAGUGAGGAAUAUUGGUCAAUGGGCGAGAGCCUGAACCAGCCAAGUCGCGUGAAGGAUGAAGGUUCUAUGGUUUGUAAACUUCUUUUAUAUGGGAAUAAAGUGCGGUACGUGUUCCUUUUUGUAUGUACCCUAUGAUUAAGCAUCGGCUAACUCUGUGCCAGCAGCCGCGGUAAUACGGAGGGUUCGAGCGUUAUCCGGAUUUAUUGGGUUUAAAGGGUGCGUAGGUGUUUUCUUAAUCCAGCGGUGAAAGUUUGUGGCUCAACCAUAAAAUUGCCGUUGAAACUGGAUGACUUGAGUAUAUUUGAGGUAGGCGGAAUGCGUGGUGUAGCGGUGAAAUGCAUAGAUAUCACGCAGAACACCGAUUGCGAAGGCAGCUUACUAAACUAUAACUGACACUGAGGCACGAAAGCGUGGGGAUCAAACAGGAUUAGAUACCCUAGUAGUG